CUUGGUCAUUUAGAGGAAGUAAAAGUCGUAACAAGGUUUCCGUAGGUGAACCUGCGGAAGGAUCAUUAUUGAAAUAAACCUGAUGGGUUGUUGCUGGUUCUCUAGGGAGCAUGUGCACGCCUUGUCAUCUUUAUAUCUCCACCUGUGCACCUUUUGUAGACCUUUCAGGUCUAUGUUGCUUCAUUUACCCCAUGUAUGUUAAUAGAAUGUUGUGCCUAUAUAAUAUAUACAACUUUCAGCAACGGAUCUCUUGGCUCUGGCAUCGAUGAAGAACGCAGCGAAAUGCGAUAAGUAAUGUGAAUUGCAGAAUUCAGUGAAUCAUCGAAUCUUUGAACGCAUCUUGCGCUCCUUGGUAUUCCGAGGAGCAUGCCUGUUCGAGUGUCAUCAAAAGUUCUCAACCACACCGGUUCUUCUGGCGUGGCUUGGAUUUGGGGGUUUGCAGGCUUUGAACAGAAGUCGGCUCCCCUGAAAAGGAUUAGCAGUAUCUGAGCGGGAGACUACGUCGGGCGUGAUAAAUCAUCUAUGCCUCGGUGUACCCGAUGUGUGAGACUGCUUCUAACUGAGUGUUGACAAGUUUGACCUCGAAUCAGGUAGGACUACCCGCUGAACUUAAGCAUAUCAAUAAGCGGAGGA
This 633-nucleotide ribosomal RNA is filed under the name uncultured Cortinariaceae. RNAcentral describes it as "eukaryotic LSU rRNA". The stretch from base 231 to 384 matches the Rfam family "5.8S ribosomal RNA". The record is from RNAcentral. Lineage: Eukaryota; Fungi; Basidiomycota; Agaricomycetes; Agaricales; Cortinariaceae.